Molecule: ribosomal RNA, 497 nt
Filed under: uncultured bacterium
Lineage: Bacteria
Description: partial 16S ribosomal RNA
Rfam family: Bacterial small subunit ribosomal RNA
Source: RNAcentral
GAUGAACGCUGGCGGCGUGCCUAAUACAUGCAAGUCGAGCGAACGGACGAGAAGCUUGCUUCUCUGAUGUUAGCGGCGGACGGGUGAGUAACACGUGGAUAACCUACCUAUAAGACUGGGAUAACUUCGGGAAACCGGAGCUAAUACCGGAUAAUAUUUUGAACCGCAUGGUUCAAAAGUAAAAGACGGUCUUGCUGUCACUUAUAAAUGGAUCCGCGCUGCAUUAGCUAGUUGGUAAGGUAACGGCUUACCAAGGCAACGAUGCAUAGCCGACCUGAGAGGGUGAUCGGCCACACUGGAACUGAGACGCGGUCCAGACUCCUACGGGAGGCAGCAGUAGGGAAUCUUCCGCAAUGGGCGAAAGCCUGACGGAGCAACGCCGCGUGAGUGAUGAAGGUCUUCGGAUCGUAAAACUCUGUUAUUAGGGAAGAACAUAUGUGUAAGUAACUGUGCACAUCUUGACGGUACCUAAUCAGAAAGCCACGGCUAACUACGUG